CGUGUGCUUACAAGUAGUCAGAGCCCGUUAAUGGGUGAUGGCGUGCCUUUUGUAGAAUGAACCGGCGAGUUACGAUUUGAUGCAAGGUUAAGCAGUAAAUGUGGAGCCGUAGCGAAAGCGAGUCUGAAUAGGGCGUUUAGUAUUUGGUCGUAGACCCGAAACCAGGUGAUCUACCCUUGGUCAGGUUGAAGUUCAGGUAACACUGAAUGGAGGACCGAACCGACUUACGUUGAAAAGUGAGCGGAUGAACUGAGGGUAGCGGAGAAAUUCCAAUCGAACCUGGAGAUAGCUGGUUCUCUCCGAAAUAGCUUUAGGGCUAGCCUCAAGUGAUGAUUAUUGGAGGUAGAGCACUGUUUGGACGAGGGGCCCCUCUCGGGUUACCGAAUUCAGACAAACUCCGAAUGCCAAUUAAUUUAACUUGGGAGUCAGAACAUGGGUGAUAAGGUCCGUGUUCGAAAGGGAAACAGCCCAGACCACCAGCUAAGGUCCCAAAAUAUAUGUUAAGUGGAAAAGGAUGUGGCGUUGCCCAGACAACUAGGAUGUUGGCUUAGAAGCAGCCAUCAUUUAAAGAGUGCGUAAUAGCUCACUAGUCGAGUGACACUGCGCCGAAAAUGUACCGGGGCUAAACAUAUUACCGAAGCUGUGGAUUGUCCUUUGGACAAUGGUAGGAGAGCGUUCUAAGGGCGUUGAAGCAUGAUCGUAAGGACAUGUGGAGCGCUUAGAAGUGAGAAUGCCGGUGUGAGUAGCGAAAGACGGGUGAGAAUCCCGUCCACCGAUUGACUAAGGUUUCCAGAGGAAGGCUCGUCCGCUCUGGGUUAGUCGGGUCCUAAGCUGAGGCCGACAGGCGUAGGCGAUGGAUAACAGGUUGAUAUUCCUGUACCACCUAUAAUCGUUUUAAUCGAUGGGGGGACGCAGUAGGAUAGGCGAAGCGUGCGAUUGGAUUGCACGUCUAAGCAGUAAGGCUGAGUAUUAGGCAAAUCCGGUACUCGUUAAGGCUGAGCUGUGAUGGGGAGAAGACAUUG
Molecule: ribosomal RNA, 1022 nt
Filed under: Staphylococcus aureus
Lineage: Bacteria; Bacillati; Bacillota; Bacilli; Caryophanales; Staphylococcaceae
Description: partial 23S ribosomal RNA
Rfam family: Bacterial large subunit ribosomal RNA
Source: RNAcentral